RNAcentral lists this long non-coding RNA (2144 nucleotides) under Mus musculus (house mouse). Its description in RNAcentral is "long non-coding RNA chr8:41305280-41307424". Lineage: Eukaryota; Metazoa; Chordata; Mammalia; Rodentia; Muridae. The record is from RNAcentral.
UUGUAACUAUUCUUUGGGAUUCACUUGUGGAAAAAUGAAAAAAAAAUGAGGGUUUAGUGUUGGCUGAACAGCAUAAUUCCAUCUAUGUAUAAAUAGAAAUAUAAAGGGAAACAAGCAUAGAAGAAAAUGUAUCAGAACAUUUGCAGUGAUCUUAUGAACUAUGUUUUCUGAAUUUUACGUAGUAGAUAGUUUUUAGUUUUUUAAUCAGAAAAGAAACUUCACAUUUGCUUGUAUUUUGAAAUGGCUUUCUCAAAUUGCUAGGAGUUAGUAGCACUUUCAGCUAUAAAGGUCAAGAUUGUUUUGGUAAAAAUAAUAAAUCUAUUGCCCUGGACUCAGCAAAAUUUUUAAAUUUUCAUCUCCUUUCACUAUUUUUACCCAACACUGUUAUUGUCAAAGAGUCGGGUAAGAGUUGAGAAAAGGUACAGGCAUAAUAAAAAUUGAGUAGAAUUAUUUUAAUUGAAAGUCAAUAUUCCAGACCUUAUUAUUGCCAUUAAAAAAAGAAGUCUGGUACAGUGGCACAUGCCAUUAAUCUCAGUACUUGGGCAGAGUCAGGCAUAUCUGUGUGAAUGGUAGCCAAUCUGGUCUACAUAUUGAGUUGUCUGGCAGAGGUACAUAGUAAAAACCUGUUUCAAAAAAUUUAUUGAAUUUUUUGUGAAUUAAAUAGUUUGAGGGUGUAAAUAUGCUGCUCAUCAAUAUUCUAAAGGGCGUGUUUUUCAUUUUCUGUGACACUAAGAUACUCUACAUUAUUGAUGCUUGUUGUGACUUGGCCUAUUAACAUGGUAAUUAGAGUGCAACAUUUAUUGGUAUUAUUGGAUUAUACUUUCCUCUUUUCCCACAGUAAUUAUAGGAGUGUCUGUUUUUAUACUCUCUACCCUCAAAAAAAAAAAAAAAACAGGUAGUGUAUCACUGUGGUUGUCAUCACUAAUCACAGAAGCUUAGUUUAUAGCAGGGCUUUUAAAUGAGAACACUUUACAGUUUUAAAUGAAACAAUAUUUCUAUGGAUGUUUUUGUGCAUAUAUGUUUAUGCACCAAGUGAAUGACUAGUGCCCGAGGAAGCAAGGAGAAGGUAUCUGAUCCCCUGGGACUAUAGUUAAAGGUGCCUGUGACCAUCCACGUGAGUGUUGAGAAUCAGGCUAAGCUCCUCUGGAGCCCCAGCCAGUGCUUACUCCUAACCACGGAGCGCCUCUCCUGCCCAGCCAAGGAGAAUGUUUCCAAAUACAGCAUAAACUAUUAUUUGCAGUAACAUGUCACUGUGGGUAAAUAUCUUUUUAAAUUUUCUUUUUUUCUCACUCACUUAUUCAUAUUAUAAUAGGCCCUGUCUUUACAACAUUUUAUGCUUAUCCUAUGUCUAACCUUUACUACAGCACAUGUCAGAAUUUUACAGCAGUCUAACAGUUGAAAAGAAAUACAUGUGAAGUGCCAGGAGGUAACAGUCUACUUAGUUCUAGUGUCCAUAUUUGUUACUUUUCUUUAUUGAACUUAAAGUCCUUAUCCUGAUUUGUUUGUUUUAGUUUUAUAAGUCAGUCUCUCUGUAGAGCCUUGGCUAUUCUGGAGCUCUCUGUGUAGACUAGUCUGGCCUUGAACACAGAUCCACCUGCCUCUGCUUCCUGAGUGCUGGGAUUAAGUGGUGUGCUACCACGCCUGACUUGUUUUGGUUUUUACUUUAUGAGUGUGGUGUUUUGCCUGUAUAUGUCUGUGCUUUGGGUGCCUGAUGCUGGAGCUGCAGACAGUAGUCAGACAUCAUGUGGGUGCUGGAAAUUGAACCUGACUUGAGUCCUCUAAAAGAGCAGCUAGCAUUCUUAACUUUCGAGCCAUCUUUCCAACCCUUGAAUUUCUUUUCAUUUUUAGAUUUAGCUUGGUGUAUAUAUGUUACUCACAAAAAAUAAAUCCGCAUAUUUUGAAGUCUUUGAUUUAUAUUUCACAGUUGGCAAAACUGGCCACUUUUCUUGUUUUAGAAACAUGAAACCUAGCCAACACAUCUGUAAAGGUAGUAGAAACAUUUUUUGUGACAUAGUGUUUAAAAAUCAUUUGUUUCAUAUAUUUGAGAUAUUGAAACGCAUUAAGGUUUUUAUAAAUAGAUACCAGUGUUUUUAUGCUGCAACCAGUUUCUGCUACCAGUCAGUAUCUGAAAAAAUAAUAUACCA